Molecule: ribosomal RNA, 460 nt
Filed under: uncultured bacterium
Lineage: Bacteria
Description: partial 16S ribosomal RNA
Rfam family: Bacterial small subunit ribosomal RNA
Source: RNAcentral
CCUACGGGAGGCAGCAGUGAGGAAUAUUGGUCAAUGGGCGUAAGCCUGAACCAGCCAAGUCGCGUGAGGGAUGAAGGUUCUAUGGAUCGUAAACCUCUUUUAUAAGGGAAUAAAGUGUGGGACGUGUCCUGUUUUGUAUGUACCUUAUGAAUAAGGAUCGGCUAACUCCGUGCCAGCAGCCGCGGUAAUACGGAGGAUCCGAGCGUUAUCGGGAUUUAUUGGGUUUAAAGGGUGUGUAGGCGGCCUUUUACGUCAGCGGUGAAAGUCUUUGGCUCAACCCUAGAAUGGCCGUUGAAACUGGGAGGCUUGAGUAUGUGUGAGGCAGGCGGAAUGCGUGGUGUAGCGGUGAAAUGCUUAGAUAUCACGCAGAACCCCGAUUGCGAAGGCAGCCUGCCAGGCCAUGACUGACGCUGAUGCACGAAAGCGUGGGGAUCAAACAGGAUUAGAUACCCGGGUAGUC